CAGCCGCCGCGGUAAUACGAAGGGUGCAAGCGUUAAUCGGAAUUACUGGGCGUAAAGCGUGCGUAGGCGGUUUGUUAAGUCUGCUGUGAAAUCCCCGGGCUCAACCUGGGAAUGGCAGUGGAUACUGGCAAGCUAGAGUGUGUCAGAGGAUGGUGGAAUUCCCGGUGUAGCGGUGAAAUGCGUAGAGAUCGGGAGGAACAUCAGUGGCGAAGGCGGCAAACUGGUCCAUAUCUGACGCUGAGGCGCGAAAGCGUGGGUAGCAAACAGGAUUAGAUACCCCCGUAGUCCCUGUCUCUUAUAC
Molecule: ribosomal RNA, 301 nt
Filed under: uncultured bacterium
Lineage: Bacteria
Description: partial 16S ribosomal RNA
Rfam family: Bacterial small subunit ribosomal RNA
Source: RNAcentral